RNAcentral lists this ribosomal RNA (279 nucleotides) under uncultured bacterium. Its description in RNAcentral is "partial 16S ribosomal RNA". It matches the Rfam family "Bacterial small subunit ribosomal RNA", at positions 506 to 784 of the family's 1533-position model. The record is from RNAcentral.
UGCCAGCAGCCGCGGUAAGACGGAGGGGGCUAGCGUUGUUCGGAAUUACUGGGCGUAAAGGGCGCGUAGGCGGAUUAGUAAGUUGGAAGUGGAAGCCCAGGGCUCAACCUUGGAACUGCUUUCAAAACUGCUAGUCUUGAGUGAAGUAGGGGGUAAUGGAAUUCCUAGUGUAGAGGUGAAAUUCUUAGAUAUUAGGAGGAACACCGGUGGCGAAAGCGAUUACCUGGCCUUCAACUGACGCUGAGGCGCGAAAGCGUGGGGAGCAAACAGGAUUAGAUA